Molecule: ribosomal RNA, 322 nt
Filed under: uncultured bacterium
Lineage: Bacteria
Description: bacterial SSU rRNA
Rfam family: Bacterial small subunit ribosomal RNA
Source: RNAcentral
GAGUAAACGCUGGGCGGCGCACAUAAGGACAUGCAAGUCGAACGAACGUUAACCAGUUAGUUUAACGUAUUGGAGCGGUUAGUGGCGGACUGGUGAGUAACACGUAAGCAACCUGCCUAUCAGAGGGGAACAACAGUUAGAAAUGACUGCUAAUACCGCAUGACAUACGGACAUGGCAUCAUGAUCGUAUCAAAGGAGCAAUCCGCUUUAAGAUGGACUCGCGUCCAAUUAGCUAGUUGGUGAGGUAACGGCCCACCAAGGCGACGAUUGGUAGCCGGACUGAGAGGUUGAACGGCCACAUUGGGACUGAGACACGGCCCAG